GCAGCUUCUAUCUCAUCCCUUCAAAACACUCUCUUCUUUUGGUCCUUCAUGGCUAAAUCAGCUUUAUCUCCAUCCAAAGCUGCACCUUCAUGACUUUGUUUCUUUUGUGUGCAUUUACAUUUUAACAUUGAUUUGAUACAUUCACUCUCCACUUUAUUGUUCAUCACAUAUUCACUAUUUUUUUUUUCUUAUCUUUCUCUUCUUUUCAUAUUAGAAUAUUCAUCACAUCAUUCACUUCUAUUCCUCUCUCUCUCUCUCUCUCUCUCUCUCUCUCUCUCUAUCUCUCUCACCGAGUGUAGGGUGGAAAAUUUCACGGUGUGGUUCCUCUGCCUCUUCUCAAUCGUUGCUGAAAUUGAAGAAACAUGACUAAGAAUUCAGUUGAUAAUCUUCAAGAUUAUGGUGCAUAGGGAAGAAAGUUUAGAAGAACGUACACACAACCGCAGAAUGUUCUUUUUCUUGUAGUACGUGGUACUGGCCAGAGUUCAUAGUUCAAUUGUUCAAUACUUUCUUCAUUCUUCAACAUGGUUGGCGCUGGUCAUAGGGAAGAAACUUUAGAAGGCAUGAGGGGCAAUUCCCAUGCAACACCAAUGCCAUUAUAACCUUGUGGUGUUGAUGAAGUUACAGGAUCCUGUGCAAGGUCAUCAUGAUGCUCCGAUUGCAGGUGGCGCUGGGCAGAGAAAGCAUCCUCAUUGAUCAGAGAAUUGAGGAAGGAAGAAAAGAUAUCAUCAGAACAAUAAUUGAUAUCAUUGUAGUCCUGGUUGUUGUUGUUGUUGGCAAGUAGAUGACCCAUGGAAGGAACAUCAUCAUCAGGAAUAUCAUUAGCUACCAUAUAUGCAGCAGCAGCUACUGCUUGAGGUUGUUGAUAUUGAUAUUGACCCUCAUCACAUUCUUGGUUGACACUAGCAAUAUUGAGAUGAUGAUGAGUAGUAGUUUCAUGAAGUGUUUGGUGAUUUGUGAUCACAGGAAGAGGCUUGGAAGGUGGUGGUGGUGGUGGAGUAGUGGAAGAAGAGGGAAUAGAUAGUUCUGGGUUGAGAGGCUUGUGGGUUCUUGGAUCAAUCCCUUGGCUGAUAAGCUUCUUGCUGAGAUGGGUGUUCCAGAAGUUCUUUAUCUCAUUAUCAGUUCUUCCCGGAAUUCUUCCCGCUAUCAAAGACCACCUGUAACAUCAGAAUCAUCAGAAUUAAUUUUAACACCCAGAAGCUAUUUAAGAAAGCUUCUUGCUAGAAUUAAUGUUAGUUUCAAAAUGAAUUGUUGUACUAUAUCCUAAACAUGAUUGAUGAAAUGGUAAUUAAAUAAAGUGUAAUUAAAUCAAGCCCUAGCUAUAUAUAUAUAUGUUUAUUUAAAAUUAA
Lotus japonicus is the source of this 1346-nucleotide long non-coding RNA. RefSeq lists it as uncharacterized. The transcript is spliced from 4 exons. The record is from RefSeq and is a predicted model, not a curated record. Lineage: Eukaryota; Viridiplantae; Streptophyta; Magnoliopsida; Fabales; Fabaceae.